GCAAAACUCAUCCAGACAGCAGCUGUUAGAAAUCCCCUGGUACUACAGGUCCUCCUGCAAAAACUCUCCAAUAACAGGCUACCAGACCAAUAGCCUUCUUCUGCCCAUAGUGUUUGCAUUUUGCCUGAUGCCCACAAGGUGUCUGGGGACCACAUGAGGGAAAUCAGCUUCUUCUGUUAUUCCUACUAAACAUGUUUCCUUUACCACUUUUUCACUUGCCAAGAAUAUGCUGGUGUGCUUUCACUAGCAGACAGGCAAGGCUGGGCAGCGCCUGCGCGCUGGAACCUCCUUGAGCUCCAGCCAAGUCCUCUUCUGUCGCAGCGGCAGGUCUCCCGCAGUAAAGAAGAGGUAGCAGCUAGGUCGGGCAGGACCGCAACACUUGGUGGAGCUAACUGAAGCCCAGACCUGUUUCCAGA
Phyllostomus discolor (pale spear-nosed bat) is the source of this 416-nucleotide long non-coding RNA. RefSeq lists it as uncharacterized. The record is from RefSeq and is a predicted model, not a curated record. The transcript has 4 exons. NCBI's taxonomy places the organism in Eukaryota, Metazoa, Chordata, Mammalia, Chiroptera, Phyllostomidae.